GACGAACGCUGGCGGCGUGCCUAAUACAUGCAAGUAGAACGCUGAAGAGAGGAGCUUGCUCUUCUUGGAUGAGUUGCGAACGGGUGAGUAACGCGUAGGUAACCUGCCUUGUAGCGGGGGAUAACUAUUGGAAACGAUAGCUAAUACCGCAUAACAAUGGAUGACACAUGUCAUUUAUUUGAAAGGGGCAAUUGCUCCACUACAAGAUGGACCUGCGUUGUAUUAGCUAGUAGGUGAGGUAAUGGCUCACCUAGGCGACGAUACAUAGCCGACCUGAGAGGGGGAUCGGCCACACUGGGACUGAGACACGGCCCAGACUCCUACGGGAGGCAGCAGUAGGGAAUCUUCGGCAAUGGGGGCAACCCUGACCGAGCAACGCCGCGUGAGUGAAGAAGGGUUUCGGAUCGUAAAGCUCUGUUGUAAGUCAAGAACGGGUGUGAGAGUGGAAAGUUCACACUGUGACGGUAGCUUACCAGAAAGGGACGGCUAACUACGUG
Molecule: ribosomal RNA, 497 nt
Filed under: uncultured bacterium
Lineage: Bacteria
Description: partial 16S ribosomal RNA
Rfam family: Bacterial small subunit ribosomal RNA
Source: RNAcentral